GGAUUAGAUACCCGGGUAGUCCAUGCCGUAAACGAUGAACACUAGGUUUCGGACUCGUCAACGGUUCGGAGCCGCAGCUAACGCGUUAAGUGUUCCGCCUGGGGAAUACGGUCGCAAGACUGAAACUCAAAGGAAUUGACGGGGGCCCGCACAAGCGGUGGAGCAUGUGGUUUAAUUCGACGCAACGCGCAGAACCUUACCAGGGCUUGACAUGGAGGUGACCGGACGAGAGAUCGUCCUUCUCCCGCAAGGGAGCACCUCACACAGGUGCUGCAUGGCUGUCGUCAGCUCGUGUCGUGAGAUGUUGGGUUAAGUCCCGCAACGAGCGCAACCCUCGUUUCUAGUUGCCAUCAUUCAGUUGGGCACUCUAGAGAGACUGCCGCGAAUAACG
RNAcentral lists this ribosomal RNA (391 nucleotides) under uncultured bacterium. RNAcentral describes it as "bacterial SSU rRNA". It matches the Rfam family "Bacterial small subunit ribosomal RNA", at positions 775 to 1163 of the family's 1533-position model. The record is from RNAcentral.